RNAcentral lists this ribosomal RNA (164 nucleotides) under Bionia coccinea. RNAcentral describes it as "5.8S ribosomal RNA". It matches the Rfam family "5.8S ribosomal RNA". Rfam says of the family: 5.8S ribosomal RNA (5.8S rRNA) is a component of the large subunit of the eukaryotic ribosome. It is transcribed by RNA polymerase I as part of the 45S precursor that also contains 18S and 28S rRNA. The record is from RNAcentral. Lineage: Eukaryota; Viridiplantae; Streptophyta; Magnoliopsida; Fabales; Fabaceae.
AAUGACUCUCGGCAACGGAUAUCUCGGCUCUUGCAUCGAUGAAGAACGUAGCAAAAUGCGAUACUUGGUGUGAAUUGCAGAAUCCCGUGAACCAUCGAGUCUUUGAACGCAAGUUGCGCCUGAAACCAUUAGGUUGAAGGCACGUCUGCCUGGGUGUCACACAA